RNAcentral lists this ribosomal RNA (282 nucleotides) under uncultured bacterium. RNAcentral's name for it is "partial 16S ribosomal RNA". It matches the Rfam family "Bacterial small subunit ribosomal RNA", at positions 560 to 841 of the family's 1533-position model. The record is from RNAcentral.
GUAAAGAGCAUGUAGGCGGCUUAAUAAGUCGAGCGUGAAAAUGCGGGGCUCAACCCCGUAUGGCGCUGGAAACUGUUAGGCUUGAGUGCAGGAGAGGAAAGGGGAAUUCCCAGUGUAGCGGUGAAAUGCGUAGAUAUUGGGAAGAACACCAGUGGCGAAGGCGCCUUUCUGGACUGUGCCUGACGCUGAGAUGCGAAAGCCAGGGUAGCGAACGGGAUUAGAUACCCCGGUAGUCCUGGCCGUAAACGAUGGGUACUAGGUGUAGGAGGUAUCGACCCCUUC